ACGAACGCUGGCGGCGUGCUUCACACAUGCAAGUCGAACGGAAAGGCCCUGCUUUUGUGGGGUGCUCGAGUGGCGAACGGGUGAGUAACACGUGAGUAACCUGCCCUUGACUUUGGGAUAACUUCAGGAAACUGGGGCUAAUACCGGAUAGGAGCUCCUGCUGCAUGGUGGGGGUUGGAAAGUUUCGGCGGUUGGGGAUGGACUCGCGGCUUAUCAGCUUGUUGGUGGGGUAGUGGCUUACCAAGGCUUUGACGGGUAGCCGGCCUGAGAGGGUGACCGGCCACAUUGGGACUGAGAUACGGCCCAGACUCCUACGGGAGGCAGCAGUGGGGAAUAUUGCACAAUGGGCGGAAGCCUGAUGCAGCAACGCCGCGUGCGGGAUGACGGCCUUCGGGUUGUAAACCGCUUUCGCCCGUGACGAAGCGUGAGUGACGGUAAUGGGUAAAGAAGCACCGGCUAACUACGUG
RNAcentral lists this ribosomal RNA (467 nucleotides) under uncultured bacterium. RNAcentral describes it as "partial 16S ribosomal RNA". It matches the Rfam family "Bacterial small subunit ribosomal RNA", at positions 29 to 507 of the family's 1533-position model. The record is from RNAcentral.